UCUUUUUCCACCGGAGCUUGCUCCACCGGAAAAAGAGGAGUGGCGAACGGGUGAGUAACACGUGGGUAACCUGCCCAUCAGAAGGGGAUAACACUUGGAAACAGGUGCUAAUACCGUAUAACAAUCGAAACCGCAUGGUUUUGAUUUGAAAGGCGCUUUCGGGUGUCGCUGAUGGAUGGACCCGCGGUGCAUUAGCUAGUUGGUGAGGUAACGGCUCACCAAGGCCACGAUGCAUAGCCGACCUGAGAGGGUGAUCGGCCACAUUGGGACUGAGACACGGCCCAAACUCCUACGGGAGGCAGCAGUAGGGAAUCUUCGGCAAUGGACGAAAGUCUGACCGAGCAACGCCGCGUGAGUGAAGAAGGUUUUCGGAUCGUAAAACUCUGUUGUUAGAGAAGAACAAGGAUGAGAGUAACUGUUCAUCCCUUGACGGUAUCUAACCAGAAAGCCACGGCUAACUACGUGCCAGCAGCCGCGGUAAUACGUAGGUGGCAAGCGUUGUCCGGAUUUAUUGGGCGUAAAGCGAGCGCAGGCGGUUUCUUAAGUCUGAUGUGAAAGCCCCCGGCUCAACCGGGGAGGGUCAUUGGAAACUGGGAGACUUGAGUGCAGAAGAGGAGAGUGGAAUUCCAUGUGUAGCGGUGAAAUGCGUAGAUAUAUGGAGGAACACCAGUGGCGAAGGCGGCUCUCUGGUCUGUAACUGACGCUGAGGCUCGAAAGCGUGGGGAGCAAACAGGAUUAGAUACCCUGGUAGUCCACGCCGUAAACGAUGAGUGCUAAGUGUUGGAGGGUUUCCGCCCUUCAGUGCUGCAGCUAACGCAUUAAGCACUCCGCCUGGGG
This 837-nucleotide ribosomal RNA is filed under the name Enterococcus hirae. Its description in RNAcentral is "bacterial SSU rRNA". It matches the Rfam family "Bacterial small subunit ribosomal RNA", at positions 70 to 878 of the family's 1533-position model. Lineage: Bacteria; Bacillati; Bacillota; Bacilli; Lactobacillales; Enterococcaceae. The record is from RNAcentral.